Molecule: ribosomal RNA, 1272 nt
Filed under: uncultured bacterium
Lineage: Bacteria
Description: bacterial SSU rRNA
Rfam family: Bacterial small subunit ribosomal RNA
Source: RNAcentral
CGAGCGAGCUUGCCUAGAUGAUUUUAGUGCUUGCACUAAAUGAAACUACAUACAAGCGAGCGGCGGACGGGUGAGUAACACGUGGGUAACCUGCCCAAGAGACUGGGAUAACACCUGGAAACAGACGCUAAUACCGGAUAACAACACUAGACGCAUGUCUAGAGUUUGAAAGAUGGUUCUGCUAUCACUCUUGGAUGGACCUGCGGUGCAUUAGCUAGUUGGUAAGGUAACGGCUUACCAAGGCAAUGAUGCAUAGCCGAGUUGAGAGACUGAUCGGCCACAUUGGGACUGAGACACGGCCCAAACUUCUACGGGAGGCAGCAGUAGGGAAUCUUCCACAAUGGACGAAAGUCUGAUGGAGCAACGCCGCGUGAGUGAAGAAGGGUUUCGGCUCGUAAAGCUCUGUUGGUAGUGAAGAAAGAUAGAGGUAGUAACUGGCCUUUAUUUGACGGUAAUUACUUAGAAAGUCACGGCUAACUACGUGCCAGCAGCCGCGGUAAUACGUAGGUGGCAAGCGUUGUCCGGAUUUAUUGGGCGUAAAGCGAGUGCAGGCGGUUCAAUAAGUCUGAUGUGAAAGCCUUCGGCUCAACCGGAGAAUUGCAUCAGAAACUGUUGAACUUGAGUGCAGAAGAGGAGAGUGGAACUCCAUGUGUAGCGGUGGAAUGCGUAGAUAUAUGGAAGAACACCAGUGGCGAAGGCGGCUCUCUGGUCUGCAACUGACGCUGAGGCUCGAAAGCAUGGGUAGCGAACAGGAUUAGAUACCCUGGUAGUCCAUGCCGUAAACGAUGAGUGCUAAGUGUUGGGAGGUUUCCGCCUCUCAGUGCUGCAGAUAAUGCAUUAAGCACUCCGCCUGGGGAGUACGACCGCAAGGUUGAAACUCAAAGGAAUUGACGGGGGCCCGCACAAGCGGUGGAGCAUGUGGUUUAAUUCGAAGCAACGCGAAGAACCUUACCAGGUCCUGACAUCCAGUGCAAACCUAAGAGAUUAGGUGUUCCCUUCGGGGACGCUGAGACAGGUGGUGCAUGGCUGUCGUCAGCUCGUGUCGUGAGAUGUUGGGUUAAGUCCCGCAACGAGCGCAACCCUCGUCAUUAGUUGCCAUCAUUAAGUUGGGCACUCUAAUGAGACUGCCGGUGACAAACCGGAGGAAGGUGGGGAUGACGUCAAGUCAUCAUGCCCUUUAUGACCUGGGCUACACACGUGCUACAAUGGACGGUACAACGUGAAGCGAACCUGCGAAGGCAAGCGGAUCUGUUAAAGCCGUUCUCAGUUCGG